UGGAUACACUUAGUGGCGGACGGGUGAGUAACGCGUGGGUACCUGCCUCACACUGGGGGAUAACAGUUAGAAAUAGCUGCUAAUACCGCAUAAGUCCGCAUGGAAAAAACUCCGGUGGUGUGAGAUGGACCCGCGUCUGAUUAGCCAGUUGGCGGGGUAACGGCCCACCAAAGCGACGAUCAGUAGCCGGCCUGAGAGGGUGAACGGCCACAUUGGGACUGAGACACGGCCCAAACUCCUACGGGAGGCAGCAGUGGGGAAUAUUGCACAAUGGGGGAAACCCUGAUGCAGCAACGCCGCGUGAGUGAAGAAGUAUUUCGGUAUGUAAAGCUCUAUCAGCAGGGAAGAAAAUGACGGUACCUGACUAAGAAGCCCCGGCUAACUACGUGCCAGCAGCCGCGGUAAUACGUAGGGGGCAAGCGUUAUCCGGAUUUACUGGGUGUAAAGGGAGCGUAGACGGCGAGACAAGUCUGAAGUGAAAGCCCGGGGCUCAACCCCCGGACUGCUUUGGAAACUGCCUUGCUGGAGUGUCGGAGAGGUAAGUGGAAUUCCUAGUGUAGCGGUGAAAUGCGUAGAUAUUAGGAGGAACACCAGUGGCGAAGGCGGCUUACUGGACGAUAACUGACGUUGAGGCUCGAGAGC
RNAcentral lists this ribosomal RNA (642 nucleotides) under uncultured bacterium. RNAcentral describes it as "bacterial SSU rRNA". It matches the Rfam family "Bacterial small subunit ribosomal RNA", at positions 83 to 760 of the family's 1533-position model. The record is from RNAcentral.